UACGUAGGUCGCAAGCGUUGUCCGGAUUUACUGGGCGUAAAGAGCGCGCAGGCGGCUGAUCAAGUCUGAUGUGAAAUCUCCUGGCUUAACUGGGAAACUGCAUCGGAAACUGAUCGGCUUGAAGGUGGGAGAGGGUAGUGGAAUUCCCGGUGUAGUGGUGAAAUGCGUAGAUAUCGGGAGGAACACCAGUGGCGAAGGCGAAUACCUGGCCCACUCUUGACGCUGAGGCGCGAAAGCUAGGGGAGCGAACGGG
Molecule: ribosomal RNA, 253 nt
Filed under: uncultured bacterium
Lineage: Bacteria
Description: partial 16S ribosomal RNA
Rfam family: Bacterial small subunit ribosomal RNA
Source: RNAcentral